GCUAAGGCGGCGCCAGCGGCCGCGGUAAUAGAGGGGGGGCGAGCGUUAAGCGGAGUUACUUGGCGGAAAGCGUGCGUAGGCGGUUGAUUAAGUCGGAUGUGAAAUCCCUGAGCUUAACUUAGGAAUUGCAUUCGAUACUGGUCAGCUAGAGUAUGGGAGAGGAUGGUAGAAUUCCAGGUGUAGCGGUGAAAUGCGUAGAGAUCUGGAGGAAUACCGAUGGCGAAGGCAGCCAUAUGGCCUAAUACUGACGCUGAGGUACGAAAGCAUGGGGAGCAAACAGGAUUAGAUACCCCAGUAGUC
Molecule: ribosomal RNA, 300 nt
Filed under: uncultured Succinimonas sp.
Lineage: Bacteria; Pseudomonadati; Pseudomonadota; Gammaproteobacteria; Aeromonadales; Succinivibrionaceae
Description: bacterial SSU rRNA
Rfam family: Bacterial small subunit ribosomal RNA
Source: RNAcentral